Molecule: ribosomal RNA, 463 nt
Filed under: uncultured bacterium
Lineage: Bacteria
Description: bacterial SSU rRNA
Rfam family: Bacterial small subunit ribosomal RNA
Source: RNAcentral
GAUGAACGCUGGCGGCGUGCUUAACACAUGCAAGUCGAACGGGAUCCAUCAAGCUUGCUUGGUGGUGAGAGUGGCGAACGGGUGAGUAAUGCGUGACCGACCUGCCCCAUACACCGGAAUAGCUCCUGGAAACGGGUGGUAAUGCCGGAUGCUCCGGCCUGCCGCAUGGUGGGCUGGGAAAGAUUGUAUCGGUAUGGGAUGGGGUCGCGUCCUAUCAGGUAGUCGGCGGGGUAACGGCCCACCGAGCCUACGACGGGUAGCCGGCCUGAGAGGGCGACCGGCCACAUUGGGACUGAGAUACGGCCCAGACUCCUACGGGAGGCAGCAGUGGGGAAUAUUGCACAAUGGGCGCAAGCCUGAUGCAGCGACGCCGCGUGCGGGAUGACGGCCUUCGGGUUGUAAACCGCUUUUGAUCGGGAGCAAGCCUUCGGGUGAGUGUACCUUUCGAAUAAGCACCGGCUAA